RNAcentral lists this ribosomal RNA (413 nucleotides) under uncultured bacterium. Its description in RNAcentral is "bacterial SSU rRNA". It matches the Rfam family "Bacterial small subunit ribosomal RNA", at positions 8 to 449 of the family's 1533-position model. The record is from RNAcentral.
AGAGUUUGAUGGUGGCUCAGAACGAACGCUGGCGGCAGGCCUAACACAUGCAAGUCGAACGCUGUAGCAAUACAGAGUGGCAGACGGGUGAGUAACGCGUGGGAACGUGCCUUUCGGUUCGGAAUAACUCAGGGAAACUUGAGCUAAUACCGGAUACGCCCUUCGGGGGAAAGAUUUAUUGCCGAAAGAUCGGCCCGCGUCCGAUUAGCUAGUUGGUGUGGUAAUGGCGCACCAAGGCGACGAUCGGUAGCUGGUCUGAGAGGAUGAUCAGCCACACUGGGACUGAGACACGGCCCAGACUCCUACGGGAGGCAGCAGUGGGGAAUAUUGGACAAUGGGCGCAAGCCUGAUCCAGCCAUGCCGCGUGAGUGAUGAAGGCCCUAGGGUUGUAAAGCUCUUUCGCCAGGGACGAU